This 643-nucleotide ribosomal RNA is filed under the name uncultured Nocardioides sp. RNAcentral's name for it is "bacterial SSU rRNA". It matches the Rfam family "Bacterial small subunit ribosomal RNA", at positions 232 to 885 of the family's 1533-position model. Lineage: Bacteria; Bacillati; Actinomycetota; Actinomycetes; Propionibacteriales; Nocardioidaceae. The record is from RNAcentral.
CGCGGCCUAUCAGCUUGUUGGUGGGGUGAUGGCCUACCAAGGCGACGACGGGUAGCCGGCCUGAGAGGGUGACCGGCCACACUGGGACUGAGACACGGCCCAGACUCCUACGGGAGGCAGCAGCGGGGAAUAUUGGACAAUGGGCGAAAGCCUGAUCCAGCAACGCCGCGUGAGGGAUGACGGCCUUCGGGUUGUAAACCUCUUUCAGUAGGGACGAAGCUAACGUGACGGUACCUACAGAAGAAGCACCGGCCAACUACGUGCCAGCAGCCGCGGUAAUACGUAGGGUGCGAGCGUUGUCCGGAAUUAUUGGGCGUAAAGGGCUCGUAGGCGGUUUGUCACGUCGGGAGUGAAAACUCGGGGCUUAACUCCGAGCCUGCUUCCGAUACGGGCUGACUAGAGGUAUGCAGGGGAGAACGGAAUUCCUGGUGUAGCGGUGAAAUGCGCAGAUAUCAGGAGGAACACCGGUGGCGAAGGCGGUUCUCUGGGCAUUACCUGACGCUGAGGAGCGAAAGUGUGGGGAGCGAACAGGAUUAGAUACCCUGGUAGUCCACACCGUAAACGUUGGGCGCUAGGUGUGGGACUCAUUCCACGAGUUCCGUGCCGCAGCUAACGCAUUAGGCGCCCCGCCUGGGGAGUACGG